UUAUAUAUAUUUUUGUUAUCAUAACACGAGAAAUGCAAUAGGUUAAUCAUACUUUUCCAGUCUGAUGUUUAUUAUCGUAAUUACAAAAGAAAAUUAAAUUUUUUGUGCCGGAAAGUUUUACAAAAUCACAUGAGGAUACUCAAUGUGACUAUUAAAUUGUUGGAUAAAAUUUUAGAAAAUUUGAUUAUCUAAAUUAAUAGUUUGGGUGCCUAAUUGGAAAAGCUGAAAUAAAUUCAGGGCCUUUGUACUUUUUUUUCUUAAUAAAAAUUGAGAAAUAUUAUUUCUAUAUAUAAAAAGGAGUGUUUUAUAUAUCCUCUCAUCGUAGAUUUAUGAAUUGUUUGAAAUUUUAGUAUUAAAAUUUCUUUGAAAUUUUAGUAUUAAAAAAAAUUAAUAAGACAUGAACCUAUAAUUGGCUCUUGAAUGAGAGGUGUAAGAUUUGCAUCUUCUUUGAGAGUGUAUCCGUGAUAGUGUUCAUAAAAAUUUAAAAUAAUUUUCAUACAAAGUCCUAAAUUUUAGAUAAAUUUUUGAGAAAUUAUUGUGCUUUCGUCCUUUAAUGCAAGUCUCUAAAAAUUUUUAUUUUUUUCUAAUUUCAUUAAAAUUUCUACUUUGCAUAUUUUAAAGAAAAUUAAGAAUAUUGCUAUGCUUUUGUAAAUAUGUCAUUUUAAACAUAGCAAAAUAUUUUUUUAUUAUAGUUUUAAUUUUCGUAGUGUAACAUCCUAUCGUUAAAAUUUUUUAUAAAUGUGGAACUGAAAAGAUCUGUAACAAAGGAAUAAAAAAUAUUUUAUAUAUAAAAAUGCAUUGAGAUUUAUGAAAGAUGCUCAAUAAAGCCCUUUUCACGAGAAUAUUUUAAAACUUAAAAACAUAUAAAAAUAUAAAAAGAUGGAGACUUCUUUUGAAGUCAUUGGAGGAGAUAGGGACCAGCUUGUACGAAAAUUAUCUAGUACACGUUAUUCAAGAGAGUAUGGUAGAGUUACUGGUUUUGCUUCAAAACCAGGGGCCUGAAAAUUCCAUUUUAUUAGUUCUGGCCGAAUUAAGAUUUUUUUUUUAUUUAUAAAUACUUAAUUUUUAUUUUAUUUUUUUUAAUUUUUAAAAAUUUAUAUUUUAUUCAAUUAUUUCAAAUUAUUGCUGGAAAUAUAAGUAGAAUUCGAAUUUGGGACAUCGGUACUAAGCAUCAAAAACUUUGCCAUUUGCGCUAGAGACGGUCGGUUUUAAGGAAACAAAAUAUAAGUUUUCGAAAAUCAGGAAAAAAAUAAAAAAGAGAGUGUUUACGUGGAGGUUUUCUGUAAUUUAAUUAUUAGUUUUAAAAUUGAUUGUUGUAAUUACGAAAACUGUAGC
This 1335-nucleotide long non-coding RNA is filed under the name Ananas comosus (pineapple). RNAcentral's name for it is "long non-coding RNA (ACOM_LNC037366)". The record is from RNAcentral. Lineage: Eukaryota; Viridiplantae; Streptophyta; Magnoliopsida; Poales; Bromeliaceae.